UCCAUCGGUGGCAGCAGGCAGCGCAGCACACACAUGCAGCUCUCUCUCUCACUCUCUCUCACAUGUCUCUUUCAUUCACUGCAUAUUCAUGCACACACAGCAGCUGCAUCUCUGGUCUCUCUCUCCCUUCUGUUAUUGUUUUUCCGCCACCACGAGAAGCUAGCAGCAGCUGCUGCUCCCGUUCCCCUGCUCCUUGUUCAACACUGAGAUGCAAACCAACAGUUCCUCUUCCCUCUCCCAUGCCAAGCACAACAAGCAAGAGCUCCAAUCUGAGCACCAUGCGCCACUUCUCCAUCUCCCUCUGUUCUUCUACUCCUACCGCAAGCCAGCAAGCCAGUGGCCCUCUCCCCUCUCUGAUUUCUUCCACGAGAAAACAGGCAAGCAAGCUGCAGCAGUGCAGUCCACCAUCCGUUCCACCCCUGCUCCUCUCGCUCGAGCAGAGCGACGUGACGCCGGCGGCCACGGGCCGGACAAGUAGAAGCGUGUCGACGACGCCGACGCCAAAUCACCGACGGCCACGACGAGCAGUGCCGCGAGCCGUAGCUCCGACCUCGCCGACGACCAAGCCAAGCUGCCGCCGCCGAGCCGUGUGUUGUCGUACCGCGAGUCCACACCCCGCGCCGGCCACGCCUUCACCGUCGACCCACGGUGAGCGCCGUCCCGCUCCCGACGUCCUAGUGCUGCCGAUGUGAGCUACGGCCGCCGAUGACCCCUCCAUAGAGCCUAGGACCCUCGUUCCGUGUUCUUGUGCAGGAACCGAACACCGUCACCAUACGUUUCCUCGCUGCAGCCAGACACUGCUGCGGUCCGGCAUAGUCACAAAGUUUCUGCGUCGACGGGUCGAGGAACGGGGUCGAGGGUCGAGGGUCGUCACUUUAUAAAAUUAUGGUACGAAGGGGGUAUACCUCUGUGGAACGAUAAAUUAUUAUGUGGGACGUGACCCUAAUUCAUCCGGGUCGAUAUUUUCGGGUCGAUGCGUCUUUAAAAAGACAAAAACUAUAUAUGUGCUACUAAUGAAGAAACUAAUUUGCACAAGCAUAUAAAAAAUAUAUAAAAAGAGUACAUUUAGACAAUAGUACACGUACUCGGCUCAUUAUCUAACAAAAACUACACCCUUAACCUUCUUAUCCCAAUUAAAUCUGCUAGUAAUGGGGUUGUGACCCCUCUCAAACAGGGACGCGAUCCAAUCUUGAAUGGGACACUGACCCUCUUUGACCCCGACCCUCGAAUCGAAACGGCGUUCCCGGGUCGUGGGACGGGGCAUCGACCCCGAAUCCUGUAACUAUGGUCCGGCCUUGCCGGCGUUUCGCGAGCGUCUCGGCCGUUCCGCGGCCUCGGCCAUGCCGUGAGCCCGUGCGCGCGUGCUCACCCUUGGCCGCAAGGCACUCCCUUUACUCCUCAAAGCCCAACCUGAGUUGCGUGCCUGCGCACGGCCAAAGGCCCUGCCUCUGCGCCGCUCAACCUAGCCGAACUGCUCUGCCACAAUGUCAAGACGACGACGCCGAGCUGAAGCCAUUGCCGGGAGCAACGACGACGUCAACGGCCACGAGCACGAGGAAGCUGAACAUGUCCUUGCAGCACACUGACACACUGCAGCCACAGACGCAGGUCCGCCACGACCAAGCAUGGAACAAGCCCCGACCCAGACCAAACAGGCACACCGUUCUGUCGUCGCCGAUGUCGCGACACGAGCUCCGCGAACGCACGAUUGGCCUUGCCAAGCCUACCUGCGGUACCACGGCCGCUCUGCCCCGCGCUUUUGCCGUGGGCUGGCACGUCACGAACCAGCCAUGCCGGGCACCGUGCGCAUGCAUGCUGCUGGAGGCUGUCACAAUUGCCACCGUACUCGCACGCCCCGGGCACGAGCCAAGUCGUCGUGGACUAGUCGUCACUGGACACCACGAGCGCAAGCCUGCACAAUCGUUCUUUUUCCAUAAAUAAUCUGAAGUUACAGUCUAUCCAACCGUGCACAAGGCAGGCUUUUGUUCGGUAGAACGGAUGCCGAGCCGUUCGCUGGACGAAACGUUGCCGACUCGUUGCCACGUGCCAACAUCCUACUCAGGGUGCCCCUCGCGGUGCCAUCCCCUUUCGCUGAGCCCACGACACGUGUGAACCGCACUCACGCACGUCGCAACACUGGCCCCACGAUGAGACCGCACAUCACUGUUCGGCAGCUUUCGGCGCCGUUCCACACUGUGGCACCAUGAUGCUUUUCCGCCCGUGCCGGCUUUGCCGUCUCGUCACAUGUGUGUCGGCAACGCCGCUUUUCGCUAUAGUGUUAUCUCUGUUUUCGCACCAGUACCCCGUCACGCCGUUGUCGGCCACUGCCUCCUCUUGGUCGAUAAAAGGCGCAUUCGCGUAGCUCCUCCAUCACUCCCAACUCAUUCCCGACCAACCCAGCUACCUUUCCAUCCCGAGCUCACUCAUUCCAUCGGUUCCAUUAGAGCAAGGAUUUGCUCGCCGCUCUCUCAUCCUAGCAAGCUCAUUGUGCUCUUGUAGUCGCCGAGAGCUGACGAAUGACGAUGAGAAGAAGCCUGGAGUCCGGUGUCGUACCGCAAGCAGAAGCCUGGAGUACGUACCACGAGCACGAGGACUAGUACCGCGAGACGAAAAUCGAAACAUGUACCGCGAGUUGAGCUACCCAUUUGUUGAGCGAAGGCAAGUCCAACAUUAUCCCUUUUGAUCACGUUUAUCCCAGUUUUUAAACACAACCCGUAGAAGCCUAUUUAAAAGUGCAUUCAAUUGGUAUAUGAAACCUUGAAAUAUUUUACUGCUUGAUGUAGUUAAAUACCCUUUGAAAGGCCAUACCUUGCUAUUGUUUGCAUCCUGAUUAUCCCUUGACAACCUAAGAUUUAUCUUUAAACAUGAUUAGCUCUGUUUAGAUGAAUGCCUUGAUAAAUGAUGCUAGCAUGCUUAGGAUUUAUUUAUACAGUAUUACUUACUGUUAUUUACCAAAUGCAAUCAUUUAUAAACGAAAAACUGGGUUGGUUAUUUUUAAAAGGUGUGAGUUAAAUUUUUAAAAAGAAUAAUGAACAUGAUGACGAUGAUGGUGAUUACCCAGAGAUGGGGCGGAAUAGGGUCCAUGUGUGGGACCACUGGAGAUUGGACUCGAGCCUGUGUGGUAGGGUCUUGUAGUUGUCCGCCUUAUCUCGAUUAAGGACCGGUAAUUGGUAUUAUUCUAGUCAAGUAUUACAGUGCAACUAUAGGACCAAAUGGGCACUGGCCUUAGCUUAUUAAGUCAGUCGGCUCGAGAGGAUGCUACCGCCCGAGUGCUCGAGGAGCUCGUCAGUGUCGGGGUAGCUAACCCGGUCAGAUGUACGGAGCCGCGAUACUCCGGCAGUCUGUCGUGUAGCAUAUUUUGGGUCCGGCUGAUGUAACGGCUCUGUCAUGUUAGCUUGCCGACACAUCUAAGGAAUUGUGUAUAUGCGCGCUGAUCCCGCGCUGGCGUCAAAGCGAAACAUGUCGUGUGGGUAAAGUGUACGACCUCUGCAGAGUGUAAAACUAUUCGAAUAGCCGUGCUCACGGUCAAGAGCGCUGGUACUAGUCGCCGGUUUUAGAACUUUUAAAAUAUUUUUGAAAAAAUGGGAUUUGGGACUGGUUUUCGGAAAUGCCCGGCAAGAGUGCCGUGGGCUACUGCGGACGGAGUGUCCGGUAGCAUUAAAAGUUGAACUCACUUCUUUUUAAAAAUACUUAUAAAUAUGACUAUAUUACUCUUUUGCUAAAAUGCCUUUACAAAAUUAACUUUGCAUGGGUAAAAAUCUCCUUUUCGCAAAAUAAACCCCAAUCACUUCCUUGUACUUCAUUAUGCAUGAACUUUUAUCCCCCUCCAUAGGGCGGGGUUGGUCUUGCUGACUACUUUUGUACUCACCCUUGCCUACAUUUACAGAGACGGUUCUACGUCGGAGAAGUCUACCCGUAGUCGUCACGUCCGCACCCGACUCGCCUGUGGCGUGGGCCAUCACGAUGCUGAGUUGCGAUGUUGACUGCUUCAUCAAUGUUUUUUUUUGCCUUAGCACUAGCUUUCUUUCUUUCUGUUCUUCUUUUAUUUUAGAUUGAAAUCCAUAAACCGCUGCCAUACAAUCGGCAAUGAUCCAUUCUGCCGAAAUAUGUGUACCAGCCUCCUGAGGCUGGAAUUAUACCACAUGUGGCUCCUGUGUAAGCGGGGUCGCGACACGGCCGUUCGAGCUGGACAAUGGGAGUGGGGAGAGAGAACGGAGGAGAAGAAGUGGAGGAUGAGAUUGAUAGUCGGGGCUCACAGAAUGGAGAGUAUAUGAAGAGCGGGAUUUAGCUAAGCUGGUUGGUUCUCCAACCCUUUGGUUAGCUUUUUAUUUGUUUGCCUAUUCUUUUGCCUAAUCAUUUAGCUAGAAAUUUAACAUAAUAUCUUGGAGUUGCUUUAAGACCGGACACGCAAACCAAUGCAUGAUGUGAAAUUACAAAAAUACCCCUCAUCUUUUGUGAGAA
Molecule: long non-coding RNA, 4461 nt
Organism: Panicum virgatum (switchgrass)
Lineage: Eukaryota; Viridiplantae; Streptophyta; Magnoliopsida; Poales; Poaceae
Exons: 2
Source: RefSeq, a predicted model, not a curated record